RNAcentral lists this ribosomal RNA (785 nucleotides) under Leucodermia leucomelos. RNAcentral's name for it is "partial small subunit ribosomal RNA". It matches the Rfam family "Bacterial small subunit ribosomal RNA", at positions 357 to 1140 of the family's 1533-position model. Lineage: Eukaryota; Fungi; Ascomycota; Lecanoromycetes; Caliciales; Physciaceae. The record is from RNAcentral.
AGGAAUGUAUAGCGAAAGCUAGCUGCAUCAGCAGCGUAGGCUAAAUUGGUGCAGCAUUGUCUCGUCAAAUAAAGUUCCGGGUAGGUUAUGACGAUGACAUUUCCUAUCUGUAUGUCUUGACCAAAUUACGUGCCAGCAGUCGCGGUAAUACGUAGAAGACUAGUGUUAUUCAUCUUUAAUAGGUUUAAAGGGUACCUAGACGGUAAAUCAAGUCCUAGAAGGAUACUAAUUUGACUAGAGUUAAAUGUGAGGGGGCUAUAAAGUACUGAUUAGUGUAGAGAUGAAAUUCUUUUAUACAAUGUAAGGCACUGGCAAAGGCGAAUGCAUCUCAUUAUGUAAUAACUGACGUUGAAGGACGAAGGCUAUGUGUAGCAAAUAGGAUUAGAUACCCAAGUAGUCGUAGCAGAAAAUUAUGAAUGUCAUAGGAUGGAUAACUUUACAUUUUUUUCAUAUAUUUGUUUGUUUUGACUUUUUUUUUUAAUUAGCAAAACAUAUACCUAUGAAAUUAAUCUAAAGAAACUUUUUUCUAUAAAUGAUAGUGUAAGCAUUCCACCUCAAGAGUAAUUUGGCAACAUUGGAACUGAAAUCAUUAGACCGUUUCUGAAACAAGUAGUGAAGUAUGUUGUUUAAUUUGAUAACCCGCAAAAUACCUUACCACAAUUUGAAUAGAAAUUUUUUUUAUACAAGUGCUGCACGGUUGUCUCCAGUUAAUGUCGUGAGAUCUUGGUUAGUUCCAUUAAAUUAACGUAAACCCUUACUUUAUUUUUAUAUAGAGUUGUUCCCCA